AAUCCAUGAUGUGGACAUAUGUUCAUCGGGUCCUUGAAUCUCUCCCAGCAAACCUAGAAGGUCUCGUCAACCUUCUGCAUGAACUGAUUGAUCUGCUCCUACAGGU
Small nucleolar RNA from Malania oleifera, 106 nucleotides. Lineage: Eukaryota; Viridiplantae; Streptophyta; Magnoliopsida; Santalales; Ximeniaceae. The record is from RefSeq and is a predicted model, not a curated record.